AUGGGGAGAACAGGAGGAACCUGCAAAGGAGAAUGAAAAGGAGUGGAGUCAGGUGUCUCGGCAGCCAAAGGAGGAAGUGGUCGCCUCUGACAGACAGUGCCGACAGGCCAAGUAAGGCACAGUUGAAGAAAUGUGUUACUGACAAGCCUGCAGGCCACAUGGUGAGAUGGAAAGCAAGCGGUAAAGACCAAAGAAACUCGUUGAGGACAAUGGAAGAUGGGCUCAGAAGAAAAUGGAUACAGCUGAAGCUAGAUGGGUCAUGGGUGAAAGCAGGACAGGACCUCAUUCUCCAACAGAUACCAAGUCCAUAAAAGCCCUGGGCUCAGCCAGAGCAGGGCAGAAGAGAGAGACUAUGGGACAACCAGCAGCAGAGAGGAACUACCCUCCCUGCUGAGAGCUUCAGAGACACGCAGAGAUGUCUGAACAAGCUGCUGUGGAGAGGAGCCACCCUCCCCAGGGCCUCCUCUCUGCUGAGAGCAGCAGAUGGUGGAAUGAGCAGUGGGCAGAGAGGAGCCACCCUCUCCAGGGCCGCCUCUUUGCUGAGAGCUGAACACUCCAUGGGAUGACCUGCCUACAGAGAGGAGCUACCCACUGUGGGUCUCUUCUGAGCUGUUCUAACACUAAAUAAACCUCCUUUUCACCUUC
Molecule: non-coding RNA, 645 nt
Filed under: Pongo abelii (Sumatran orangutan)
Lineage: Eukaryota; Metazoa; Chordata; Mammalia; Primates; Hominidae
Source: RNAcentral